This 643-nucleotide ribosomal RNA is filed under the name uncultured bacterium. RNAcentral describes it as "bacterial SSU rRNA". It matches the Rfam family "Bacterial small subunit ribosomal RNA", at positions 97 to 732 of the family's 1533-position model. The record is from RNAcentral.
GGCGAACGGGUGAGUAAUAUAUCGGAACGUGCCCAGUCGUGGGGGAUAACGUAGAGAAAUUUACGCUAAUACCGCAUACGAUCUAAGGAUGAAAGCGGGGGACUUCGCAAGAGGCCUCGCGCGAUUGGAGCGGCUGAUAUCAGAUUAGGUUGUUGGUGAGGUAAAAGCUCACCAAGCCGACGAUCUGUAGCUGGUUUGAGAGAACGACCAGCCACACUGGGACUGAGACACGGCCCAGACUCCUACGGGAGGCAGCAGUGGGGAAUUUUGGACAAUGGGCGAAAGCCUGAUCCAGCAAUGCCGCGUGUGGGAAGAAGGCCUUCGGGUUGUAAACCACUUUUGUACGGAACGAAAAGGUCUGCCCUAAUACGGUGGGCCCAUGACGGUACCGUAAGAAUAAGCACCGGCUAACUACGUGCCAGCAGCCGCGGUAAUACGUAGGGUGCGAGCGUUAAUCGGAAUUACUGGGCGCAAAGCGUGCGCAGGCGGUUAUAUAAGACAGUUGUGAAAUCCCCGGGCUCAACCUGGGAAUUGCAUCUGUGACUGUAUAGCUAGAGUACGGUAGAGGGGGAUGGAAUUCCGCGUGUAGCAGUGAAAUGCGUAGAUAUGCGGAGGAACACCGAUGGCGAAGGCAAUCCCCUGG